UUCGCGUGCGUUCGCGUCGCGCGCUGGGCGAAAUAAUUUUAAACGUGUGAUUAGUUUUGCGCGCGGGGUAGAAAAAGAUGUGGCCCUUGCUUUGUGUAUUACUCGUGCCCCACUUCAAAGCAAAGCGUUCGUACGCACUGGAAGAUGGAUCCACGAAGGCUGAAACGAGAAGUUGCAACGUGCCCGGUCGGUAGUACUGGCAUGACGGAAAUUUUCAGGCAAGUGCCCGUUUAUUUGGUAUUUGUUUUGUUCGCUUUAGAAAUAUCUCACUGUGAUCUCGUAGCAUAAUUCAUAAUUCGCUAAUGUAAGAGCAAGAGCAGCUGCACUCCUACUAGGGCAAGUGAACUACCUCGAUCGCUUCCCGUGUGACUAAUGUUUGUCAAAUCUACAUCGGGCGUGGUGCGCCUGCAUAGUUACGCUUUGUUUCUCAGCGCUUGAGCGUUCAUUGAUGUGAUUCUCUUGUGCGUUCAGCGCGGCUGCUUGUAAUACGGUCGUUCGCACUUCAGUUAAAUGUGGUCGACCACUUUUGCGUCGCGUAGAAAAAGGACUGGCUUAGCCACCUUUCGAAAGAACCGGCGUGGUAUUGGUUCUCCCUGAUGCGGUCGCGUGCUGCUGUUGCUGCUUGCCGGACGCCUUCAGCAUUUUUUCGGCUCGCUUUGUCUGCGUGUGCGCGUGCUCGCGCUCGGCUCGAUUUGUGUGUGCGUGUGUGCGCUCAGCUCAGCUCGCUUUGUGUGUGUGUGCGUGCGUGCGCUCGGCUCGCUGUGUGUGUGUGUGUGUGCGUGCGUGCGCUCGGCUCGCUGUGUGUGUGUGUGUGUGCGCGCGCGCGCGUACAGUACAUGCCGGUUUGUAUGGGCCGGCGUGUAUGCGCGUGUCUAGUGCGUACGUGUUUUGUGAGUGUGUUGUCUGUGGGUUGCUGUGUGUGCGUCCUCGUGUUAGCGUGUCUGCCUGCAUGCAUAUAUGUGUGUUUGUGUGUGCGCAUCAAUGUGCGCGUGCGCGCUUUUGUGUCUGCGCUUUGAGAGUGCGUAUACUUGUGUGUGCGUGAGUGCGUUUUGUGUGCGUGCGUAUGCAUUGCAGGAGGCCGGUAGUUUUACUCGCAAUAAAACUUCCGAUUUGGUGCAGCGAGUGUUCCCGCCUGAAAGCCGAGUUUGGUUUCAAGCCACCCUGGACAACUGCUGUAUGAGGCGCCGUUUCUCGGGAGCACCAGUGGGAAGGCGCCAGGUCAUGCAGAUGGCAGCAGCAAUUUCACAAUGCCCAGCCUUGGCGCCCCCCAUCAAGUACAAGCCACUUGCGUUCGCCUUCAGACAGAUGGUUAAUGUCUGCUUGGAAGCGGUUGAGAAGACAACAUUGAUGCAAGAUUCCAGCAAUGCCAUGCGCUGCGUUGGUCAAGAUGCUCAGAGAAUGGAGUCCCUGCACCUAGUGGUUAACCGUGAACAUUUCUUUUUCUUUUGGAAAGCUAAAGGCCAUUUGCUGCAGCACUUGCAUUUUUACAGCUCAGAUGUGUACUAUAUUUUUCUAAUUUUGAAUUAAUAUUGGCUGUUCAGUAUAAAAAAUGACGUAUAGUGUGAAGGACAAGGACUGCGACAGACACACUCCACUCACUUUCAACAAUAUUUUAUUGCGUUGCCACAUUGUGUGUGUAUACACAAGAGGGGUCAUGCGCAGAAAAUGAAAGCCAGUCACAAGGGGUGUUCUAACAGCAAGUCAUUGUAAAAAGAACAUGGUCACUUGAAAAAAAACAUCACAAUUUCUAUCUGUUUAGAUACAAAAUUUCACUAGGGGUCAGCCGGAUAGAGGGGGCACUAACGCACACACUAUCCAGUUUUCUGGUGAAAUCAGCUUCAAUAAUUUACCGGUUGAGCUGUGUCUCGCUAAAACUUCCGUAUCUUCAAAGAGGGCCAAUGCAACCGCAGUCCCGGCAAUGAAUGCCCAAGUGGCCUUGAACAGUGUUAUUGACGUUGUUAUAGUGCUCUCUUAAACGAUCAUUUAGGCGCCUGCCUGUCUGUCCAAUAUAUUUACUUCCUCAAAAUGGGAAUUUGGGAAACCACAUUCGUUGCACACAUCGCAAAGCGUUUUCUGUGCCCGGCAGAGCAACAACUCUGACGCUAUUUAGGCGCGUUUACACGCUUACAGAGCCUUGCCAGCUUUUCCGGGGCUGAGAAAAGGACUGUGAUUACUGCAGGUUCCCUAAUCUUUUUUUUAGCCUGUGGGAGACAUCAUGAACAUACGGUAGCACUGCAAACCUGUGUCUUUCAAUUGGCUGGUUCCUUGACCGAGCGCGCUCAUCAUGUUUUGUGCACUUCAGAAGCUGUUCCGCUAUGGCUGAAAUUAAGGCCAAAGGGUAGCCAACCCAAGAAAGGCAGUCAACCUGUGCAGCAACACUAUGUUGCAUCUCGUGUGAGCAAGAUUUAUUGAAGCUGUUAAGCAGGCAAAGCUUUACAAUAUCUCAUUUCACUUUGUUGGACAGGCAGGCAGACGCCUAAACAAUCAUUUAGGAGAGCACGAUAACAACGUCCAUAACACUGUUCAAGGCCACUUCGGCAUCCAUUGCUGGGACUGCGGCUGCGUGCCCCUCUUUGAAGGUACCGAAGCUUUAGGGAGACGCAGGUCAUCCGGGUAACUAUAGAAGCAGAUUCCACUAGAAAACUGGUUAGUGUGUGCGUUAGUGACCCCUCUAUCGUGCUGACCCCUAGUGAAGUCUUGUAUCUCAACAGAUAGAAAUUCGAAUGUUUAUUUUUUUUCAAAGGACGAUUUCUUAGUACAGUCACUUGCUGUUGGACACCCCUUGUGACUCAUAUUCUGCGCAUGCCCGCUUUUGUACAUAUACACAUGAUGUGGCAACCUAAUAAAAUAUUGUUGGAA
This is a long non-coding RNA of Dermacentor albipictus, 2859 nucleotides long. RefSeq lists it as uncharacterized. The record is from RefSeq and is a predicted model, not a curated record. NCBI's taxonomy places the organism in Eukaryota, Metazoa, Arthropoda, Arachnida, Ixodida, Ixodidae.